RNAcentral lists this ribosomal RNA (1730 nucleotides) under Salmonella enterica subsp. enterica serovar Gaminara str. ATCC BAA-711. RNAcentral describes it as "bacterial LSU rRNA". It matches the Rfam family "Bacterial large subunit ribosomal RNA", at positions 1220 to 2925 of the family's 2925-position model. Lineage: Bacteria; Pseudomonadati; Pseudomonadota; Gammaproteobacteria; Enterobacterales; Enterobacteriaceae. The record is from RNAcentral.
GUUGUUGGGUAGGGGAGCGUUCUGUAAGCCUGUGAAGGUGGCCUGUGAGGGUUGCUGGAGGUAUCAGAAGUGCGAAUGCUGACAUAAGUAACGAUAAAGCGGGUGAAAAGCCCGCUCGCCGGAAGACCAAGGGUUCCUGUCCAACGUUAAUCGGGGCAGGGUGAGUCGACCCCUAAGGCGAGGCCGAAAGGCGUAGUCGAUGGGAAACGGGUUAAUAUUCCCGUACUUGGUGUUACUGCGAAGGGGGGACGGAGAAGGCUAUGUUGGCCGGGCGACGGUUGUCCCGGUUUAAGCGUGUAGGUGUGUGUUCCAGGUAAAUCCGGUUCACUUUAACACUGAGGCGUGAUGACGAGGCACUACGGUGCUGAAGCAACAAAUGCCCUGCUUCCAGGAAAAGCCUCUAAGCAUCAGGUAACAUCAAAUCGUACCCCAAACCGACACAGGUGGUCAGGUAGAGAAUACCAAGGCGCUUGAGAGAACUCGGGUGAAGGAACUAGGCAAAAUGGUGCCGUAACUUCGGGAGAAGGCACGCUGACAUGUAGGUGAAGUGAUUUACUCAUGGAGCUGAAGUCAGUCGAAGAUACCAGCUGGCUGCAACUGUUUAUUAAAAACACAGCACUGUGCAAACACGAAAGUGGACGUAUACGGUGUGACGCCUGCCCGGUGCCGGAAGGUUAAUUGAUGGGGUCAGCGCAAGCGAAGCUCCUGAUCGAAGCCCCGGUAAACGGCGGCCGUAACUAUAACGGUCCUAAGGUAGCGAAAUUCCUUGUCGGGUAAGUUCCGACCUGCACGAAUGGCGUAAUGAUGGCCAGGCUGUCUCCACCCGAGACUCAGUGAAAUUGAACUCGCUGUGAAGAUGCAGUGUACCCGCGGCAAGACGGAAAGACCCCGUGAACCUUUACUAUAGCUUGACACUGAACAUUGAGCCUUGAUGUGUAGGAUAGGUGGGAGGCUUUGAAGUGUGGACGCCAGUCUGCAUGGAGCCGACCUUGAAAUACCACCCUUUAAUGUUUGAUGUUCUAACGUGGACCCGUAAUCCGGGUUGCGGACAGUGUCUGGUGGGUAGUUUGACUGGGGCGGUCUCCUCCUAAAGAGUAACGGAGGAGCACGAAGGUUGGCUAAUCCUGGUCGGACAUCAGGAGGUUAGUGCAAUGGCAUAAGCCAGCUUGACUGCGAGCGUGACGGCGCGAGCAGGUGCGAAAGCAGGUCAUAGUGAUCCGGUGGUUCUGAAUGGAAGGGCCAUCGCUCAACGGAUAAAAGGUACUCCGGGGAUAACAGGCUGAUACCGCCCAAGAGUUCAUAUCGACGGCGGUGUUUGGCACCUCGAUGUCGGCUCAUCACAUCCUGGGGCUGAAGUAGGUCCCAAGGGUAUGGCUGUUCGCCAUUUAAAGUGGUACGCGAGCUGGGUUUAGAACGUCGUGAGACAGUUCGGUCCCUAUCUGCCGUGGGCGCUGGAGAACUGAGGGGGGCUGCUCCUAGUACGAGAGGACCGGAGUGGACGCAUCACUGGUGUUCGGGUUGUCAUGCCAAUGGCACUGCCCGGUAGCUAAAUGCGGAAGAGAUAAGUGCUGAAAGCAUCUAAGCACGAAACUUGCCCCGAGAUGAGUUCUCCCUGAGACUUUAAGUCUCCUGAAGGAACGUUGAAGACGACGACGUUGAUAGGCCGGGUGUGUAAGCGCAGCGAUGCGUUGAGCUAACCGGUACUAAUGAACCGUGAGGCUUAACCUUAC